UGGGGAAUUUUGCACAAUGGGGGAAACCCUGAUGCAGCGACGCCGCGUGAUUUAGAAGGCCUUCGGGUUGUAAAAAUCUUUUGUAUGGGAAGAAAAUGACAGUACCAUACGAAUAAGGACCGGCUAAUUACGUGCCAGCAGCCGCGGUAAUACGUAAGGUCCGAGCGUUGUCCGGAAUCAUUGGGCGUAAAGGGUACGUAGGCGGAUAAGCAAGUUAGAAGUGAAAUCCUAUAGCUCAACUAUAGUAAGCUUUUAAAACCGCUCAUCUUGAGGUAUGGAAGGGAAAGUGGAAUUCCUAGUGUAGCGGUGAAAUGCGCAGAUAUUAGGAGGAAUACCGGUGGCGAAGGCGACUUUCUGGCCAUAUACUGACGCUGAGGUACGAAAGCGUGGGUAGCAAACAGG
Molecule: ribosomal RNA, 402 nt
Filed under: Verrucomicrobiota bacterium
Lineage: Bacteria; Pseudomonadati; Verrucomicrobiota
Description: Verrucomicrobia bacterium partial 16S ribosomal RNA
Rfam family: Bacterial small subunit ribosomal RNA
Source: RNAcentral